This 74-nucleotide transfer RNA is filed under the name Botrylloides leachii. RNAcentral's name for it is "transfer RNA-Trp". The record is from RNAcentral. Lineage: Eukaryota; Metazoa; Chordata; Ascidiacea; Stolidobranchia; Styelidae.
GGGAACUUAGGUUAAGAAGAGAGUCAUAAAACUAAUUAUCUUCAAAAUAAUAGAUACAUUUAUUGUAGUUCCAG